RNAcentral lists this ribosomal RNA (246 nucleotides) under Salmonella enterica subsp. enterica serovar Derby. Its description in RNAcentral is "partial 23S ribosomal RNA". It matches the Rfam family "Bacterial large subunit ribosomal RNA", at positions 2062 to 2307 of the family's 2925-position model. Lineage: Bacteria; Pseudomonadati; Pseudomonadota; Gammaproteobacteria; Enterobacterales; Enterobacteriaceae. The record is from RNAcentral.
CAGUGUACCCGCGGCAAGACGGAAAGACCCCGUGAACCUUUACUAUAGCUUGACACUGAACAUUGAGCCUUGAUGUGUAGGAUAGGUGGGAGGCUUUGAAGUGUGGACGCCAGUCUGCAUGGAGCCGGCCUUGAAAUACCACCCUUUAAUGUUUGAUGUUCUAACGUGGACCCGUGAUCCGGGUUGCGGACAGUGUCUGGUGGGUAGUUUGACUGGGGCGGUCUCCUCCUAAAGAGUAACGGAGGA